This 306-nucleotide ribosomal RNA is filed under the name uncultured bacterium. RNAcentral's name for it is "bacterial SSU rRNA". It matches the Rfam family "Bacterial small subunit ribosomal RNA", at positions 28 to 334 of the family's 1533-position model. The record is from RNAcentral.
GAUGAACGCUAGCGGCAGGCUUAACACAUGCAAGUCGAACGGUAACAUAGUGCUUGCACUGAUGACGAGUGGCGAACGGGUGCGUAACGCGUAUGCAACCUACCUCUUAUUAAGGGAUAGCUCAGAGAAAUUUGAAUUAAUACCUUAUAAUAUCUUAAAGCCGCAUGGUUUAAAGAUUAAAGAAUUUCGAUAAGAGAUGGGCAUGCGUGAUAUUAGCUAGUUGGUAAGGUAACGGCUUACCAAGGCAACGAUAUCUAGGGGGUCUGAGAGGAUGAUCCCCCACACUGGUACUGAGACACGGACCAG